Molecule: small nuclear RNA, 107 nt
Organism: Moschus moschiferus (Siberian musk deer)
Lineage: Eukaryota; Metazoa; Chordata; Mammalia; Artiodactyla; Moschidae
Source: Ensembl
GUGCAGGAUUUGGCAGCACAUAUACUAAAAUUGGAAUCACACAGAGUAGAUUAGCAUGACCCCUGUGCAAGGAUGACACACAAAUUUCAGAAUCAUUCUAUAUUUUU